AACGAACGCUGGCGGCAUGCCUAACACAUGCAAGUCGAACGAGACCUUCGGGUCUAGUGGCGCACGGGUGCGUAACGCGUGGGAACCUGCCCUUAGGUUCGGAAUAACUCCCCGAAAGGGGUGCUAAUACCGGAUAAUGUCUUCGGACCAAAGAUUUAUCGCCUUUGGAUGGGCCCGCGUUGGAUUAGCUAGUUGGUAGGGUAAAAGCCUACCAAGGCGACGAUCCAUAGCUGGUCUGAGAGGAUGAUCCGCCACACUGGGACUGAGACACGGCCCAGACUCCUACGGGAAGCAGCAGUGGGGAAUAUUGGACAAUGGGCGAAAGCCUGAUCCAGCAAUGCCGCGUGAGUGAUGAAGGCCUUAGGGUUGUAAAGCUCUUUUACCCGGGAUGAUAAUGACAGUACCGGGAGAAUAAGCGCCGGCUAACUCCGUG
RNAcentral lists this ribosomal RNA (433 nucleotides) under uncultured bacterium. RNAcentral's name for it is "partial 16S ribosomal RNA". It matches the Rfam family "Bacterial small subunit ribosomal RNA", at positions 29 to 507 of the family's 1533-position model. The record is from RNAcentral.